GAUUAACGCUGGCGGCGUGCAUAACACAUGCAAGUCGAACGAUGAAACUCAUUAGAUUUCUUCGGAAUGAAAAUGAAUGGAUUAGUGGCGAACGGGUGAGUAACGCGUGAGUAACCUGCCUUACACAAGGGGAUAGCCUCUGGAAACGGAGAAUAAUACCCUAUGAAACCAGACAAUCGCAUGAUAAUCUGGUCAAAAUGUUUAGUGGUGUAAGAUGGACUUGCGUCUGAUUAGCUAGUUGGUGAGAUAAAAGCUCACCAAGGCAACGAUCAGUAGCCGGCUUGAGAGAGUGUACGGCCACAUUGGGACUGAGACACGGCCCAGACUCCUACGGGAGGCAGCAGUGGGGAAUUUUGCACAAUGGGGGAAACCCUGAUGCAGCGACGCCGCGUGAUUUAGAAGGCCUUCGGGUUGUAAAAAUCUUUUGUAUAGGAAGAAAAUGACAGUACUAUACGAAUAAGGUCCGGCUAAUUACGUA
Molecule: ribosomal RNA, 478 nt
Filed under: uncultured bacterium
Lineage: Bacteria
Description: partial 16S ribosomal RNA
Rfam family: Bacterial small subunit ribosomal RNA
Source: RNAcentral